UUGCUGUGGUAUUUUGACUAUACGAAGGUAUUGAAAUAAGAUUUUAAAUGAGUGCUAAGAGAAUGAUUAAACAAUUAAAAGCUUUCUUUAAUUGAAUAAUUGAAUUUAAUUUUUUAGUGCAAAAGCAAAAAUAAAAAUUAGGGACAAGAAGACCCUAUGAAUUUUUUAUUAAAUUUUAUUAAACUUUAUAUAAAAUUUAAUUUAAUUGGGGUGAUGGAAAAAGAAUAAAUAUCUUUUUUUUAAAAGAAAAUUGGUUCCGUUUUUAGCGAUUAAAUGAAAAAAAUACUCUAGGGAUAACAGCGUAAUAAUUUUGGAUAGUUCAUAUAGAUAAAAUAGUUUGCGACCUCGAUGUUGGAUUAGGAUUCUUUUUUGGUGAAGAAGUUAAAAAAA
RNAcentral lists this ribosomal RNA (390 nucleotides) under Ixodes ricinus (castor bean tick). Its description in RNAcentral is "partial 16S ribosomal RNA". The record is from RNAcentral. Lineage: Eukaryota; Metazoa; Arthropoda; Arachnida; Ixodida; Ixodidae.